UACAGAGGUCCCAAGCGUUGUUCGGAUUCACUGGGCGUAAAGGGUGCGUAGGUGGCAGGGUAAGUUUGAUGUGAAAUCUCCGGGCUUAACCCGGAAACUGCAUUGAAUACUAUCCUGCUCGAGGGUUGGAGGGGGGACUGGAAUACUUGGUGUAGCAGUGAAAUGCGUAGAUAUCAAGUGGAACACCAGUGGCGAAGGCGAGUCCCUGGACAACUCCUGACACUGAGGCACGAAAGCUAGGGGAGCAAACAGG
Molecule: ribosomal RNA, 253 nt
Filed under: uncultured bacterium
Lineage: Bacteria
Description: partial 16S ribosomal RNA
Rfam family: Bacterial small subunit ribosomal RNA
Source: RNAcentral